AUUGAACGCUGGCGGCAGGCCUAACACAUGCAAGUCGGGCGAGCGGCGGACGGGUGUGUAAUGUCUGGGGAACUGCCUGUUGGAGGGGGGGACAUCCUGUAAACGGUAGCUAAUACAGCAUACGACAACAUAUGCCCAGAUGGGAUUAGCUAGGAGGUGGGGUAACGGCUUACCUAGGCGACGAUCCCUAGAUGGUCUGAGAGGAUGACCAGCCACACUGGAACUGAGACACGGUCCAGACUCCUACGGGAGGCAGCAGUGGGGAAUAUUGCACAAUGGGCGCAAGCCUGAUGCAGCCAUGCCGCGUGUGUGAAGAAGGCCUUCGGGUUGUAAAGCACUUUCAGUGGGGAGGCGUUACCCGCAGAAGAAGCACCGGCUAACUCCGUGCCAGCAGCCGCGGUAAUAC
This 406-nucleotide ribosomal RNA is filed under the name uncultured bacterium. RNAcentral describes it as "partial 16S ribosomal RNA". It matches the Rfam family "Bacterial small subunit ribosomal RNA", at positions 30 to 526 of the family's 1533-position model. The record is from RNAcentral.